RNAcentral lists this ribosomal RNA (328 nucleotides) under uncultured bacterium. Its description in RNAcentral is "bacterial SSU rRNA". It matches the Rfam family "Bacterial small subunit ribosomal RNA", at positions 1051 to 1378 of the family's 1533-position model. The record is from RNAcentral.
GUCGUCAGCUCGUGUCGUGAGAUGUUGGGUUAAGUCCCGUAACGAGCGCAACCCUUGUCCUUAGUUACCAGCACGUUAUGGUGGGCACUCUAAGGAGACUGCCGGUGACAAACCGGAGGAAGGUGGGGAUGACGUCAAGUCAUCAUGGCCCUUACGGCCUGGGCUACACACGUGCUACAAUGGUCGGUACAGAGGGUUGCCAAGCCGCGAGGUGGAGCUAAUCCCACAAAACCGAUCGUAGUCCGGAUCGCAGUCUGCAACUCGACUGCGUGAAGUCGGAAUCGCUAGUAAUCGCGAAUCAGAAUGUCGCGGUGAAUACGUUCCCGGG